UACUUUAGUUGAUUUCCGAUGCUUUAAUUUAGUUGAUUGAUAGUGCUUUACUUUAAUUAAUUAUCGGUGCUUUACUUACAUGAUUAAGCAUUGUAUAAUGCUGUUUGGCCUUGUUGAGUCGACUAAACUCAAAAACAAUUCUCAUUCUCAUCCGAAAACACUCAAAGAAACAGAGCAUUUUCUCCAAAGCUUGUUCUUGCUCCAUAGACCAUCAAUCAACCUCAGACCACUUCCCAUACCUUCACCUUGACCUUGCGCAGCUGCCAGUGGCAGCCUCGUACCGUAAGACGGCCAGCAGCGGCGGCGGAGGAGUCGGUUUCUGUUUGAGCUCGUUUUGGUUCAAUCUCAAUAUCUUGAGCUACAGGUUACCAUAUCUCUUGAUUCUUGUCUCAUUGGAUUCGCCUCAACCUUCUGAAGCCCCCAGAAGCAGCCUUGCACGGCGGCGCAUCCCGUAGCAGCAACUACAAGUCAACCCCGCCAAGAACGAAACCGGAGCUAUCGAUCCAAAUAUCUCGAGCUACAGGACGUAUUUUUGAGUGAUUCUUGAACCAGUGAGCUCACCUUGAAGUUCUGAAAAACUCUCCAGAAGGAAUCGAAGCGUUUCGUUGAAGUUUUUACGUCGAAACUCAAGCUCGCCGGAUUCUGGAAUUUUUCCGACCACCGAAGCUUUCGAUCGGUAUAUCUCGAGCUACAGACCAUAUUUUUCUGUGAUUCUUGAACCAGUGAGUUCUUCUUGAGUUUCUUAACAACUCUUAAGAAGGAAUCGAAGCCUUAAAUUGACGUUUUUACGUCGAAUUGGAGCUCGCCGUUUUCUGCAGUUUCUCGCCGGUUUCUGGAAAAUUCCGGCCACCUUCAUACUGUUCAAGGUGAUUGACGGUCUCCCUUGGGUGAAAGAUUUCGGUGUGUAUUGUGUUGAAUUGAAGACGCAGCGGGAAUAUCGAGCGGGUAAUCCUACAGGACAGGAGAACCAGGACGGUGAUCGUGCGGUUAGAGCAAUUGUUAGAGUUUUACAGCAAUUGUACGUUGUGAGGUGUGUUAUGCUCAUUUGAGCUUUACAAUAUUGCUUGUGAGAGUGAAUUGUAAUAAUGAACUCGAAGUUUCGAGAUUUGGAUUUUGUAAUUGUAAUUAUUCAUGUUUCGGAUUUGAAUUUAUUAUUCAAAAUUCGGGGCGUGACAGUUUGGUAUCAAAGCGUAAGGUGCAUAUUUGGUGAUGUGUCAAUACCUUCCGAGUGAUGGCCCGUCUGCAGCGGAUCCCCAUCGUGUGCUCUUCGGUAUUGGCUAAGUCAUUGGGUAUGCGUGAGUGUUGGGAGUUGUUUAGGCCGCUAGGUCGUUUUAGGAACGUGAAUACCUUCCCU
Rosa rugosa (rugosa rose) is the source of this 1354-nucleotide long non-coding RNA. RefSeq lists it as uncharacterized. The transcript is spliced from 3 exons. NCBI's taxonomy places the organism in Eukaryota, Viridiplantae, Streptophyta, Magnoliopsida, Rosales, Rosaceae. The record is from RefSeq and is a predicted model, not a curated record.